GCAAUGUUCCAAGAUCAUUAAUGAUUUUAAAGGCUUUCUAAUAAAUAGUAACUGACAGUAAAUGUUACUAAUAGUAUAUGAGUUGCCUACCUUCAUUUGUUAUUAUAGUAUUUUAUUAAUUUGUUUAGUCUUCAUUCAGUAUAUUUAAAAACUUGUUAAAUCGCUGUUGUCCCCUUAUUUUGUAAUUCUAUCACCUAUUAGCUUUGUAUUAUUUUUCUUAAUUACUUUUUAUAUUGUUUGAAAUUAAACUAGGUUAGUAACACAGGAUUAAGUUGGUAAAAUUUUACACACCCAUAUUUAAUGUAUGUUAUCUGAGAUGAAUAGUCCUUUUCCUAUAGGUUAGCUGUCUUCCUUUCCUAAGCACUAUCCAGACUACUGUAUAUAUAAGUAGCUUGAUACUUUU
This 403-nucleotide long non-coding RNA is filed under the name Bos taurus (domestic cattle). RNAcentral describes it as "long non-coding RNA NONBTAT019459". The record is from RNAcentral. Lineage: Eukaryota; Metazoa; Chordata; Mammalia; Artiodactyla; Bovidae.